RNAcentral lists this ribosomal RNA (503 nucleotides) under uncultured bacterium. Its description in RNAcentral is "partial 16S ribosomal RNA". It matches the Rfam family "Bacterial small subunit ribosomal RNA", at positions 29 to 523 of the family's 1533-position model. The record is from RNAcentral.
AAUGAACGCUGGCGGCAGGCCUAACACAUGCAAGUCGAGGGGUAGCAGGAUUAAGCUUGCUUAAUUGCUGACGACCGGCGCACGGGUGCGUAACGCGUAUGCAACCUACCUUAUACUGGGGUAUAGCCCGGAGAAAUUCGGAUUAAUCCCCCAUAGUACUAAUGAAUCGCAUGGUUUAUUAGUUAAAGCAUUGCGGUAUAAGAUGGGCAUGCGUCCUAUUAGCUAGAUGGUGAGGUAACGGCUCACCAUGGCUACGAUAGGUAGGGGGCCUGAGAGGGUGGUCCCCCACACUGGUACUGAGACACGGACCAGACUCCUACGGGAGGCAGCAGUGAGGAAUAUUGGUCAAUGGGCGCAAGCCUGAACCAGCCAUGCCGCGUGCAGGAAGAAUGCCCUAUGGGUUGUAAACUGCUUUUAUUUGGGAAUAAACCUCUUUACGUGUAGAGAGCUGAAGGUACCAAAUGAAUAAGCACCGGCUAACUCCGUGCCAGCCGCCGCGGUAA